AUUGGUAGAGGAGGAGUGAUCGAGCCUGCGCUUAAGUGCGCGGCGAGGUUGUUCUUUUUCGUUACGCCGAUAAUUCUUUACACACACUGGAGUUUUAUUUCUACAGUAUCGGAGGUAGCAAUACCGCCAAAACAAAACACAAACAAUUAUUUUUUAUUAUUUUAAUUUGUCAUUUCAAAAUCUGCUUUAUUGCAGUAACCAAAAUAUUCAAAACUUUCAACAACGGAUCUCUUGGUUCUCGCAUCGAUGAAGAACGCAGCGAAAUGCGAUACGUAAUGUGAAUUGCAGAAUUCCGUGAAUCAUCGAAUCUUUGAACGCACAUUGCGCCCCUUGGUAUUCCAGGGGGCAUGCCUGUUUGAGCGUCAUUUCCUUCUCAAAUACUUGUAUUUGGUUGUGAGUGACACUCAGUCUUGCAUUGAGUUAACUUGAAAUUGUUGGCCGUAGCGGUUGUUGCAGCUUAUAGUUUUUGUGUAAUGGUAUGAUUUCUUUACUAUUAAACAGGAUGCUUGAGCAUGUCGUAUUAGGUUUUACCAACUCCGGCAGACUCGGUAUCUUGGAAGAGCGUACUGGCAUUAGAACAUUGAACUGUCGACUGUGGCAAACAGUACUCUUUAAGUUUGACCUCAAAUCAGGUAGGAAUACCCGCUGAACUUAAGCAUAUCAAUAGCCGGAGGAA
RNAcentral lists this ribosomal RNA (676 nucleotides) under Maudiozyma exigua. RNAcentral describes it as "eukaryotic LSU rRNA". The stretch from base 212 to 365 matches the Rfam family "5.8S ribosomal RNA". Lineage: Eukaryota; Fungi; Ascomycota; Saccharomycetes; Saccharomycetales; Saccharomycetaceae. The record is from RNAcentral.